GAUGAUGAUCCCAAGCCUUCUGGCGAUCUCUUAAAAAAGCCUAGCCUGCUUUAAAAAAAACAGGACGUUUAGAUCCUCUUUAAAUCCUUAUAAAUCUUAAAGAGUAUCCAUUUAAAAAAGGGCUUUAUGAAGAAAGCACUUUAAGCUUUUCCAAUGAUUUAAGAUGAUACCGGGGAAGGUUUUCCGGUUUAUCCCGGAGGGCUUGUAGCUCAGUUGGUUAGAGCGCGCGCUUGAUAAGCGUGAGGUCGGAGGUUCAAGUCCUCCCAGGCCCACCAAUUUAUGCUCGUUUUUUACUUAUCCUGAGAGUUAUGAAGCUUAAACGUAUUAAACGUAUCAAAGCCUCUUUAAUCUUUGUUCAUCGUUUAAAGAUUUUAUUUUAUCCUUCAAAAAUUGUUUGUUAAAUUUACAUUGCGUUUAUCAAACAGUGCCUUUGUCAAAAGAAGGAUUUUAAGUUCCCUUCAAGAGGAUAGACAAAUUUAAAGGAUAAAAGCUAAAAAAUGAUACAAAUCAAUAGAAGUCAAAAUAAUAUUGAUCGAAAAAAUAGUAUUGAUUAAAAGAGGACAAGUUACUCAAGUUGAUAAUUUUUUUGAGGUUGAUUUGAGAGGGCAUUCUUUAGGGGCCGUAGCUCAGCUGGGAGAGCACCUGCUUUGCAAGCAGGGGGUCGUCGGUUCGAUCCCGUCCGGCUCCACCAUUUAGAUCAUCAUCAUGUUGUAAGAACACGGUUUAGUAAAAGGCUUAUUUACCCUUUUGCUUGUUCU
Molecule: transfer RNA, 758 nt
Filed under: Bartonella mastomydis
Lineage: Bacteria; Pseudomonadati; Pseudomonadota; Alphaproteobacteria; Hyphomicrobiales; Bartonellaceae
Description: partial 16S-23S ribosomal RNA intergenic spacer
Rfam family: tRNA (bases 199-272)
Source: RNAcentral